Long non-coding RNA from Dreissena polymorpha, 4307 nucleotides. RefSeq lists it as uncharacterized. Lineage: Eukaryota; Metazoa; Mollusca; Bivalvia; Myida; Dreissenidae. The transcript is spliced from 20 exons. The record is from RefSeq and is a predicted model, not a curated record.
UCUCUCAUUUUCACCGAUUUGCUUAUUGUCUGUGAUGAAAUUGGAUUUUUUUUUGCUUCGAAAUUGACAUUUUUGGGGUGAUUUAAAAAAAAAGAACAAAAAAGGCAUUAUCAAAAUUGCUUUGAGUGAAAAUAUUUAACAAAUUCAUUCUUCCCCCACCCCGCAUAAGCCUCACGUGCCUGUCCAUUUGGUUUGUUUUGGUAUUUUGUUGCAUAUAUUGAACACAACAACUUUAAAUCUUAAAGGGACAUUUAAGCUUUAACAGGCCUAAAAUUGCCUUCUUCGGACCGAAAACACCCGCGUGUGAAAAUAUGAUAUAAAAUGGCCAAAUGGACAGAUAAUCCAGCCAAACUUAAUAUUUUGCUGCAAUAUGCAUAUGAAGAUAAUAAUAUGCAAGAAAAACACAUUUUAAUCAGAAUAAAUUUCUCCUUUAGGUUACAAUAUACUAAAAUAUUUUGGAGUGCAAUGCUAUACUCUCUAAAAACAUGAACAUCAUUUAUAAGAAGACACAAUUCUCUGUAGGGGCACUUGCCAUGGCUUUAUUUUAGAAUGUUUCUUUGUGCAUGUGGUAGGGAAAACAUUGAUGUUUAACAGAAAUGCACUCUUUUGCUUGAAGGUUGGAGACUACAUGAGACUUUGACAGAUGGCGGGAAACCCUUCUCAACUGGUACGAAGCCGGUAGAGAAAUGUCUGGGACUUAGCCGAGGGCAACUGGAGAAGGGUUGUUGAUGGCAAAACAGGCAAUAAUACUAAAUUAUUAUUAUGUACACAAGCAAAUAAGCAUAGUUAUGAUGUUUAAGGUGUGAAAUACUGUCAUAAUAUGGUUUGUGGUCACUCAAAUCCUUGCCGUCGUGCAAUUCCCCGUGCAGUUUGUAUUGAUAGCUCCGCGUCCUGACACGUAAAGCUCGUGCUUUGUUGGCAGCAGAAGUUGGCACUUAACAGGUUUAUCCUUGCUCCUAAGCAUGUAUGCAGUACAUCUGAGUUGAUAUGCUACUUGUAACCCUACAAUUAGCUUGUGUUUGGUAUUGUUUCCUCACAAUAUGCUUACAGUCAUGGUCCCGGCUUGAAAGGAUGUGGCGUCCGACUUAAACAUAGGAUUGUUGUAGCAAGUGUCCCCUUCAUCAUUUACCUUAGAGGGAUCUUUUUGCCAAAAUUUGGCAUUUCAGCAACCAGUUUUGUUUUUUAUUUGGUACAUGCUUCUCUCAUUCAGUGAUUUAAGGGAAGUAUUGACCUUAUUCGCUUGUCUUUGCAUACAAAGGUGACAUGGAUCAAUGAUAUUUGUUGUGUUGAGAAUUCUGCGGGAAGCUGUGUCCCCAAAAGAAGUACCAGAAACCCCUUCCAGGAAGCUUGCAUUGAUCUGAACUGCCUUUCUGCCCCUGUUACAACAUGAAACCUCAUUUCUAAGCUUAUAAUGCUUUCCUACAUGUGUGUGUCUUGUUCAUUUUAACCUUUCCUUCCAUUCUAAACCCCAAAAAUGAGCAUUUUUGUCUUUGGCUCGGUUAUGAAGCGCCAUUUUGACCAGAUUGCCACCAUCAAAAUAGUCAAAAGUACUUAUUUUGUGCCCAAAAUAUGAAAUUUUGUAUUCUCUUCAACCUCUUAAUGAGAGCUGGCAGUGAAUAUUGACCAUCUUCUUCAGUUUAAAGGCACCCAUGACAUUAUAUGCUAGAAUAUAUAAUUGGCAGCUGGUAAACAAAUUGGCUCCGAGCAACAAGGCGCUUUCAAGAUUUUACACUUUUAUUGGUGCGAAACAACAAGUUAUUGGAAGCUUAUGGAUUUCUACACUUCAAAGUAUCUUUGAUCUUUCAUUUUCACCAAUUUGCUUAUUGUCUGUGAUGAAAUUGGAUUUUUUUUGCUUUGAAAUUGACAUUUUUGGGGUGAUUUAAAAAAAAAAGAACAAAAAAGGCAUUAUCAAAAUUGCUUUGAGUGAAAAUAUCUAACAAAUUCAUUCUUUCCCCACCCCGCAUAAGCCCCACGUGCCUGUCCAUUUGGUUUGUUUUGGUAUUUUGUUGCAUAUAUUGAACACAACAACUUUAAAUCUUAAAGGGACAUUUAAGCUUUAACAGGCCUAAAAUUGCCUUCUUCGGACCGAAAACACCCGCGUGUGAAAAUAUGAUAUAAAAUGGCCAAAUGGACAGAUAAUCCAGCCAAACCUAAUAUUUUGCUGCAAUAUGCAUAGGAAGAUAAUAAUAUGCAAGAAAAACACAUUUUAAUCAGAAUAAAUUUCUCCUUUAGGUUACAAUAUACUAAAAUAUUUUGGAGUGCAAUGCUAUACUCUCUAAAAACAUGAACAUCAUUUAUAAGAAGACACAAUUCUCUGUAGGGGCACUUGCCAUGGCUUUAUUUUAGAAUGUUUCUUUGUGCAUGUGGUAGGGAAAACAUUGAUGUUUAACAGAAAUGCACUCUUUUGCUUGAAGGUUGGAGACUACAUGAGACUUUGACAGAUGGCGGGAAACCCUUCUCAACUGGUACGAAGCCGGCAAAUAGAUGGCCAUAAAACAGUGACCGCUGAUUCGCGUCGAGUUCUUUCUUGCAUAACGUUGGAGACUACAUGAGACUUUGACAGAUGGCGGGAAACCCUUCUCAACUGGUACGAAGCCGGCAAAUAGAUGGCCAUAAAACAGUGACCGCUGAUUCGCGUCGAGUUCUUUCUUGCAUAACGUUGGAGACUACAUGAGACUUUGACAGAUGGCGGGAAACCCUUCUCAACUGGUACGAAGCCGGAUAAUAGAUGGCCAUAAAACAGUGACCGCUGAUUCGCGUCGAAUUCUUUCUUGCAUAACGUAGGGAAAUGUCUGGGACUUAGCCGAGGGCAACUGGAGAAGGGUUGUUGAUGGCAAAACAGGUUGGAGACUACAUGAGACUUUGACAGAUGGCGGGAAACCCUUCUCAACUGGUACGAAGCCGGAUAAUAGAUGGCCAUAAAACAGUGACCGCUGAUUCGCGUCGAAUUCUUUCUUGCACAACGUAGGGAAAUGUCUGGGACUUAGCCGAGGGCAACUGGAGAAGGGUUGUUGAUGGCAAAACAGGUUGGAGACUACAUGAGACUUUGACAGAUGGCGGGAAACCCUUCUCAACUGGUACGAAGCCGGAUAAUAGAUGGCCAUAAAACAGUGACCGCUGAUUCGCGUCGAAUUCUUUCUUGCACAACGUAGGGAAAUGUCUGGGACUUAGCCGAGGGCAACUGGAGAAGGGUUGUUGAUGGCAAAACAGGUUGGAGACUACAUGAGACUUUGACAGAUGGCGGGAAACCCUUCUCAACUGGUACGAAGCCGGAUAAUAGAUGGCCAUAAAACAGUGACCGCUGAUUCGCGUCGAAUUCUUUCUUGCACAACGUAGGGAAAUGUCUGGGACUUAGCCGAGGGCAACUGGAGAAGGGUUGUUGAUGGCAAAACAGGUUGGAGACUACAUGAGACUUUGACAGAUGGCGGGAAACCCUUCUCAACUGGUACGAAGCCGGAUAAUAGAUGGCCAUAAAACAGUGACCGCUGAUUCGCGUCGAAUUCUUUCUUGCACAACGUAGGGAAAUGUCUGGGACUUAGCCGAGGGCAACUGGAGAAGGGUUGUUGAUGGCAAAACAGGUUGGAGACUACAUGAGACUUUGACAGAUGGCGGGAAACCCUUCUCAACUGGUACGAAGCCGGAUAAUAGAUGGCCAUAAAACAGUGACCGCUGAUUCGCGUCGAAUUCUUUCUUGCACAACGUAGGGAAAUGUCUGGGACUUAGCCGAGGGCAACUGGAGAAGGGUUGUUGAUGGCAAAACAGGUUGGAGACUACAUGAGACUUUGACAGAUGGCGGGAAACCCUUCUCAACUGGUACGAAGCCGGAUAAUAGAUGGCCAUAAAACAGUGACCGCUGAUUCGCGUCGAAUUCUUUCUUGCACAACGUAGGGAAAUGUCUGGGACUUAGCCGAGGGCAACUGGAGAAGGGUUGUUGAUGGCAAAACAGGUUGGAGACUACAUGAGACUUUGACAGAUGGCGGGAAACCCUUCUCAACUGGUACGAAGCCGGAUAAUAGAUGGCCAUAAAACAGUGACCGCUGAUUCGCGUCGAAUUCUUUCUUGCACAACGUAGGGAAAUGUCUGGGACUUAGCCGAGGGCAACUGGAGAAGGGUUGUUGAUGGCAAAACAGGUUGGAGACUACAUGAGACUUUGACAGAUGGCGGGAAACCCUUCUCAACUGGUACGAAGCCGGAUAAUAGAUGGCCAUAAAACAGUGACCGCUGAUUCGCGUCGAAUUCUUUCUUGCAUAACGUAUGACCCCCCAUUUUUAUUGUUUAAAUCAUUGCGGCUUGGAAUGCUCUUUAAG